This 75-nucleotide transfer RNA is filed under the name Candidatus Berkelbacteria bacterium. RNAcentral describes it as "tRNA-Met". It matches the Rfam family "tRNA". From Rfam's summary of the family: Transfer RNA (tRNA) molecules are approximately 80 nucleotides in length. Lineage: Bacteria; Candidatus Berkelbacteria. The record is from RNAcentral.
GCCGGGGUAGCUCAGUUGGUCAGAGCGCUUCACUCAUAAAGAAGAGGUUCGCGGGUUCGAUCCCCGCCCCCGGCA